AGAGUUUGAUCCUGGCUCAGAUUGAACGCUGGCGGAAUGCUUUACACAUGCAAGUCGAACGGCAGCACGGGGCAACCUGGUGGCGAGUGGCGAACGGGUGAGUAAUACAUCGGAACGUGCCCAAUCGUGGGGGAUAACGUAGCGAAAGUUACGCUAAUACCGCAUACGAUCUACGGAUGAAAGCGGGGGAUCGCAAGACCUCGCGCGAAUGGAGCGGCCGAUGUCAGAUUAGGUAGUUGGUGGGGUAAAGGCUCACCAAGCCAACGAUCUGUAGCUGGUCUGAGAGGACGACCAGCCACACUGGAACUGAGACACGGUCCAGACUCCUACGGGAGGCAGCAGUGGGGAAUUUUGGACAAUGGGCGCAAGCCUGAUCCAGCCAUUCCGCGUGCAGGAUGAAGGCCUUCGGUUGUAAACUGCUUUUGUACGGAACGAAAAGGUCCUGGUUAAUACCUGGGGCUCAUGACGGUACCGUAAGAAUAAGCACCGGCUAACUACGUG
Molecule: ribosomal RNA, 501 nt
Filed under: uncultured bacterium
Lineage: Bacteria
Description: bacterial SSU rRNA
Rfam family: Bacterial small subunit ribosomal RNA
Source: RNAcentral